Long non-coding RNA from Sander lucioperca (pikeperch), 376 nucleotides. RefSeq lists it as uncharacterized. The transcript is spliced from 3 exons. Lineage: Eukaryota; Metazoa; Chordata; Actinopteri; Perciformes; Percidae. The record is from RefSeq and is a predicted model, not a curated record.
GUUUUUUUUAUAUAUAUGCCUUUGUUGGUCUAUUUAGUGGUGUAUGUGCCCUGACUAAGUCUGUGUGUCAUAUAAAUCACAAUUCGUGUUGAUACAAGUACCAGUGUUAGUGUAGAAAUAUUUUAAUCACAUACAAAUUUUCAUGAUACAGCGCUGAUAACCUCCGCCAUCUUGGUCAGACUUUUUUUGUAACUCCCGCCUCCAAACACAAACACGCGGACCUGACUGGUUCUCCAGUGGUCCUCAUUUGAAUAAAGUUAAACUUUCGCUUGCCUCGGUGAUUUGCUCUCAUCUCGCCCAAUCAGGGCGAUUUUCAUCUCCAUUCAACCUCAAUGAGAGCGAAGCGAAAUUUCGCUGUGUGGAACCCUACCGUAAC